Molecule: ribosomal RNA, 505 nt
Filed under: uncultured bacterium
Lineage: Bacteria
Description: partial 16S ribosomal RNA
Rfam family: Bacterial small subunit ribosomal RNA
Source: RNAcentral
GACGAACGCUGGCGGCGUGCCUAAUACAUGCAAGUAGGACGCACAGUCUAUACCGUAGCUUGCUACACCAUAGGCUGUGAGUUGCGAACGGGUGAGUAACGCGUAGGUAACCUGCCUAUUAGAGGGGGAUAACUAUUGGAAACGAUAGCUAAUACCGCAUAACAGUAUGUAACACAUGUUAGAUGCUUGAAAGAUGCAAUUGCAUCGCUAGUAGAUGGACCUGCGUUGUAUUAGCUAGUAGGUAGGGUAAUGGCCUACCUAGGCGACGAUACAUAGCCGACCUGAGAGGGUGAUCGGCCACACUGGGACUGAGACACGGCCCAGACUCCUACGGGAGGCAGCAGUAGGGAAUCUUCGGCAAUGGGGGGAACCCUGACGGAGCAACGCCGCGUGAGUGAAGAAGGUUUUCGGAUCGUAAAGCUCUGUUGUUAAGGAAGAACGAGUGUGAGAAUGGAAAGUUCAUACUGUGACGGUACUUAACCAGAAAGGGACGGCUAACUACGUG